RNAcentral lists this transfer RNA (73 nucleotides) under Marmota monax (woodchuck). Its description in RNAcentral is "tRNA.Ala". It matches the Rfam family "tRNA", at positions 1 to 59 of the family's 71-position model. Rfam says of the family: Transfer RNA (tRNA) molecules are approximately 80 nucleotides in length. Their secondary structure includes four short double-helical elements and three loops (D, anti-codon, and T loops). Further hydrogen bonds mediate the characteristic L-shaped molecular structure. tRNAs have two regions of fundamental functional importance: the anti-codon, which is responsible for specific mRNA codon recognition, and the 3' end, to which the tRNAs corresponding amino acid is attached (by aminoacyl-tRNA synthetases). tRNAs cope with the degeneracy of the genetic code in two manners: having more than one tRNA (with a specific anti-codon) for a particular amino acid; and 'wobble' base-pairing, i.e. permitting non-standard base-pairing at the 3rd anti-codon position. Lineage: Eukaryota; Metazoa; Chordata; Mammalia; Rodentia; Sciuridae. The record is from RNAcentral.
UGGGAUAUAGCUCAGUUGGUAGAGUGCUUGCUUUGCAAGCAGGAGGCCCUGGGUUCAAUGAACAGCACCACAC